This is a long non-coding RNA of Archocentrus centrarchus (flier cichlid), 295 nucleotides long. RefSeq lists it as uncharacterized. Lineage: Eukaryota; Metazoa; Chordata; Actinopteri; Cichliformes; Cichlidae. The transcript has 3 exons. The record is from RefSeq and is a predicted model, not a curated record.
AGAACUGCACCCAUGAAAAAGAGCACUGUGCUCCAGCUCCAAGUUACAGAUUGAGAUUCAGUGUCUGAAAUAAGUCUGAACUUUGAUGCUGUUUCCACCUGAAUCAGUCUCAGUGGGUCCACUGAGCAGUAAUUCUGAACCAGAUCUGCCCAAAGCCUCAGUAAUGGAUCAACAAACGAGGUCUGCAUCAGAGUCCACUUGCAUGGCAAGAUGGAUCCAAAAUGGGAAAACCUGAGCUGUGGAGAGUGCAGAAGAGGAAGUCCUUUUGUUUGCAGAGUGGAUUUGUUUGGAGCGU